Sinocyclocheilus rhinocerous is the source of this 547-nucleotide long non-coding RNA. RefSeq lists it as uncharacterized. Lineage: Eukaryota; Metazoa; Chordata; Actinopteri; Cypriniformes; Cyprinidae. The transcript is spliced from 3 exons. The record is from RefSeq and is a predicted model, not a curated record.
GGUCGGCGCCUGUCGUCAGAUCCGCAAAGCAUUUCGGGCUACUGGAGGCUGAUUCGCCCAAUAAUACAAACAAGCCGCCAGUCACAUUGGAAUCGGCUGAACAUGCGAAAAGCCGCCUGCUUAUGAAUUAACAUAAAUUUAGCCUCCAUGAAUGCAUGCUUUUAUUAUUUCCUCACUCUUUUGGAAGUGGCAGUAUAUAAUCGCGUAUGAACUGGGAUAAAAUAUCCAGCACACGUGACAAAUAGCUAAUCCUACAAUAGGAAACACACAGUAACACUCCAGUAUGGCGGACAGUUUGAUGAGUAAAGCAGCCACUAUGGAGAUUCCUAUUAACAGUAAUGGGGACUCUAGGAAUCUGGCAGAAGAUGACAGCCUGGAGCAGGCUGCAAAGAUUCAGUGGAGCUUAAGAGAGAAGGUAGGGAGUCCCACAGGCCUCAGGGUGAGAAGGAACACUGGGAAGGGUGGCAGAGUGUGUGUGUGUGUGUGUGUGUGUGUAUGCCUGCACGUGUAUGUCUUUCCAGCAGAUAACGAUUUUAGUUCUCCCCAU